RNAcentral lists this ribosomal RNA (639 nucleotides) under uncultured bacterium. RNAcentral describes it as "bacterial SSU rRNA". It matches the Rfam family "Bacterial small subunit ribosomal RNA", at positions 173 to 831 of the family's 1533-position model. The record is from RNAcentral.
ACUUUUGGGAGACAUCUCCUGGAAGUCAAAGCUUUAUGUGCUGAAAGAUGGCCUCGCGUCUGAUUAGCUGGUUGGUGAGGUAACGGCUCACCAAGGCGACGAUCAGUAGCCGGUCUGAGAGGAUGAACGGCCACAUUGGGACUGAGAUACGGCCCAGACUCCUACGGGAGGCAGCAGUGGGGAAUAUUGGGCAAUGGGGGAAACCCUGACCCAGCAACGCCGCGUGAAGGAAGAAGGCCUUCGGGUUGUAAACUUCUUUUACCAGGGACGAAGGACGUGACGGUACCUGGAGAAAAAGCAACGGCUAACUACGUGCCAGCAGCCGCGGUAAUACGUAGGUUGCAAGCGUUGUCCGGAUUUACUGGGUGUAAAGGGCGUGUAGGCGGAGAUGCAAGUUGGGAGUGAAAUCCAUGGGCUCAACCCAUGAACUGCUCUCAAAACUGUAUCCCUUGAGUAUCGGAGAGGCAAGCGGAAUUCCUAGUGUAGCGGUGAAAUGCGUAGAUAUUAGGAGGAACACCAGUGGCGAAGGCGGCUUGCUGGACGACAACUGACGCUGAGGCGCGAAAGCGUGGGGAGCAAACAGGAUUAGAUACCCUGGUAGUCCACGCUGUAAACGAUGAAUACUAGGUGUGGGAGGAC